This 304-nucleotide ribosomal RNA is filed under the name uncultured bacterium. Its description in RNAcentral is "partial 16S ribosomal RNA". It matches the Rfam family "Bacterial small subunit ribosomal RNA", at positions 506 to 807 of the family's 1533-position model. The record is from RNAcentral.
CAGCAGCCGCCGCGGUAAUACGUAGGGCGCAAGCGUUAUCCGGAAUUAUUGGGCGUAAAGAGCUCGUAGGCGGUUUGUCGCGUCUGCCGUGAAAGUCCGGGGCUCAACCCCGGAUCUGCGGUGGGUACGGGCAGACUAGAGUGAUGUAGGGGAGACUGGAAUUCCUGGUGUAGCGGUGAAAUGCGCAGAUAUCAGGAGGAACACCGAUGGCGAAGGCAGGUCUCUGGGCAUUAACUGACGCUGAGGAGCGAAAGCAUGGGGAGCGAACAGGAUUAGAUACCCGCGUAGUCCCUGUCUCUUAUAC